This 2802-nucleotide unclassified non-coding RNA is filed under the name Neodiprion pinetum (white pine sawfly). Its description in RNAcentral is "aurora kinase C, transcript variant X4". Lineage: Eukaryota; Metazoa; Arthropoda; Insecta; Hymenoptera; Diprionidae. The record is from RNAcentral.
ACGAAUUUGAAUUUGUGACGCUUCGAAUCGGUUGUUCUGCUAAAUACUGAAGAUUUUAAUCUGCCACAGCUGAUUUAGUUAUUUGAUUUUAGAGGUAGACAAAAUAUGGCUACAAUAAGUGACGAUAUUCCUGAGGAAUACAGAGAUGGGGUUAACCAAAUGGUUGAAAUCAUGCAUAGAGAAGUUGAGUACCGUGCCAAAGGGUUUAAGUGGGCUAUGGACGAUUUUGAUAUCGGAGCACCAUUGGGGAGAGGAAAAUUUGGCAGAGUAUAUUUAGCUAGAGAAAAGAAAACCCAUUACAUGGUGGCUCUUAAAAUGCUGCAUAAAUGCGAGUUAGUCAAAGGACGAGUAGAGAAACAAGUGAUGCGUGAGAUUGAAAUACAAUCACAUCUGAGGCACCCAAAUAUACUCCAUUUGCUAACCUGGUUUUAUGAUGCUAAACGCAUCUAUUUAGUAUUGGAGUUUGCUGCAAAUGGAGAACUUUACAGGGAAAUGCAGCGUCAGCCUGAAAAGAGAUUCAAUGAGCACUUAUCUGCCAAGUACACGUAUCAAGUAGCAGAUGCCCUGAACUAUUGUCACAAAAACCAUGUGAUACAUAGGGACAUUAAGCCUGAGAACUUGUUACUUGACUUUCAAGGUGACAUAAAAUUGGCAGACUUUGGAUGGUCUGUGCAUGCUCCGUCGUCAAAGCGCAACACUAUGUGCGGCACAUUGGAUUAUUUACCUCCAGAGAUGGUAGUAGGACAGACAUACGACAUAUACGUUGAUCACUGGUGUUUAGGAAUUCUGUGCUAUGAAUUUUUAGUUGGGAGGCCACCAUUUCUCAGUGACACGCAUGAAGAAACAUACAACAAAAUUAAGGGCUGCAUUAUACACUGGCCAGCUCAUGUUUCUUUAGGUGCACGAGAUCUUAUAUCGAAGCUGAUUAAAAGGAAGAGCUCUGACAGAAUUCCACUACCUGCUGUGAUGAAGCACCCUUGGAUAGUUGAAAAAAAAAGCAGAAAAUAGUCAUUUCUAUAGUAUUAGCUGUCGUCCCUGAAGCGCAAUGCCUAUUCUGGAGUGAACCCAUUUUCUGGAAUCACUGUUAUCUUGUCCAGCGUAAAACGUAUUCCUCAUGGACCCAGGAAUCCGUGCAGUCGGUUCAUCUGAAACAUAGAAUUCAAAGGGAAUCUUAAAAUAUAAUACAUAGAGUAGUCCGUGAUGGUAGAUUUCUAUCCUGAAACUUAUUUUUACAGAAAUGCCGACAGUUCGAACAUGAUGUUCGUUCAUCGUCCAUAAUUUUCGACCCUCGGGGUUUUAAAAAAAAUUCUCCCGUGUGAAUAAGAAAAAAUGUCACAAAACAUUGUAUAAAAAUUGCAGCAAAUCGGUCGAACUAUUUUCGAAAUAUUUUGAGAAUCGACUUCCAAAUUGAUGUUUUAAGAUAACUGAGUUCAACGUUUGGCCAAGAAACUAUGUGCAAGAUAUAUUUUUUUUCUUCAAUUUACCGUCAGUGAUUCCAGGGUCAUAAAGUACUAUUCCAGCAUCAAUUCUUACCUAUUUACACUGAAUUCCUCUUCACGGGUCGCCUGUUUAGUUUCAAUUUGGUUGAUAUGAAUGUGCUCCUCAUCGUCUACUUCGCAGUACCAAUCAGCUUUCCUUUUGAUUUGGUUCCGGAGUUAAAAAUUCAUGUCGCUGUAUUAGCGGCAAUGUUUCCAAUGUGUGAACUGCUAUGGUUGAUCUCGGGUGCUAUUACCAAAGUACGUUGUUGAAGCUCCCGUUUGAAUUUGGUGUGUAUCUUCUGUCAUAGCAUUGUAACUGUCACAAUUAGAUCUCUAAAUAUCAACUCAAUAUAUUUGUCUACAUCUGGAUGGAGAACAGGCUUAUGGUGGUAGCUCUUCAAUGUAUUUGUAGCCUUUGCUCACUGCCAAGAGAACACCACUGUCAAUCCCUGGUGGACACCCAUCAUGCUGUGACUUCUGGUCAGUUGAUAUCAUAUGGAAAAAGGUAUACCGAAGAUUGUUUGGUAAUUUCUUUGCACAAUAUAACGGCAUCAGCAUGAUCUUGCAAUACUGAUACUGAAAUACCGAAACACCGAGAUAUCGAAGACAUCAAUAUUCCUCAUCAUAAAAUUAAUGGAGCUUUGUUUACAUGGACUUGUUUGAAACUACGAUUUUUACCAAAACAACGGUACUUUGAAGUAAUGCAUGUACCGAUUAUCUGCAAGAAUUUCUUAAUCUGUUUGACACCUGCCAAACCAUAAACGUUCGCCAUUAACAUAACAAGGAUAUUGGAUGAGGCAUUGUAGGAAACUUCUGGUAUAGUCAGGUCAUGUAAAGUCACUCGGAAUAUUACAACUUCCCAAGAGUUGUGAUAUAUUUCUUUCACAAACCAUUUUUUUGUCUUGAAAAAUGCAUGCGCAACUGAAACUGUUGAAAUAUUUGAUUAUCAAACUUUCAACGAAAAUGCUGAACUCGUUACUGAUUGAUUUGAUAUGUGUAACAGAUCAGUUUGAACAAUGCUUAAGAUCAUGAAAAAAUAAUAUACAUUCUUUGCAAAUCAUUAGUGAGUUGUAAUAUUUUACAAACAGAUGUAUGGAUUUGAAUAGUAUCUUGUCUGAUGAGUCCCUGUAGCUCUCUGUAUGCCAUAUAUUUACAUGAUAUUUUGGUAUGGUUAUUAUAUAGAAUCCUACAUGGCUGAUUCUAUGAAGUAGCUGCUGACCAAUAUACAUAAUAGCUUUUAGAUUCGAAAAUCGGAACCUAAGAUAAGAUUACGCUUGGCUAAGAGACUAACAAUAUUCUUUUGUAUAGAAUAUAUUUUAACGAA